CAGCCAUGGCGCAGCUGGCCAGCGAGAUGGGCUCCUGGCUACCAAGACAGAAAGACUAAGAGUUACGCGGGGACCCGACCCUCAGGAGGCUGAAUCUACCACUCUUUCUACAUAAGGAUGCGCGUUUUCAUGGGACGCUGACAACAACUGCAACCAUCAACCUGACACUGCUGGGCGGGGACGUUUAACAAUACGUGUACCCGCCUGGCACCUGCCUACAACACCCGACAGCCAGAGGACCCUACAAACCUAGCAGGAAGACAGCUGGGCGCCACAGCCAUUGGUAAAAAACCUCGCUGGGCAGCCGAGCAGGGCUGGGGGAGGAACCCCAGGCUGCGUCCCAGAUUCUCCCCGGUACCCAAAGUGUUGCCUGCUCUCUCUGACGUCACUUCACUUUUGUCCACAAACAAUGUUGACCUCUCUCGCGUGCACACACCCGGGGAGGGAAGAAACUGGACUGAGACCAUCUCUCCUGUUUUUGGCGGCUAAGCAGGUCCGCUGCCUGCUCAUGUGUCUGGCACAGCUCAAAGUCCUGCUCCUUUUUGCCCAUUCUGGACACUGGCUUGAAGGACACGCAUGUCUGCAGAUGGGCAGAAGGAGCUUUUUAUACAGUUAAAGAAGGAUUCGCUGGGCUCUUCGGAGACUAAUUCCAUCUUGUUUUCAAAAUUUGCUGCCCUUCUCAAUUUCACCGGAACCCGGAGGGUAGACAGGCCUGUCCCAGGAAACAAGUGACCAGGCUUUGCAACUGGAGUUUCGGGAUCAGACUCGGGCCAGGUUGGCACUGAACGCGCCCCCACCUGCCAACCUGGGGCCAUGUGAGUGGGGGCCCAGGGAAUGAUGAAGAUCCAGCCCAUCCUACCCAGGCCUGUGUGGACGGAGGAGCAGGUCUGGUGGAAAAGGAAAACCCAUGUUGUUC
This 916-nucleotide long non-coding RNA is filed under the name Homo sapiens (human). Its description in RNAcentral is "HSALNT0118156". The record is from RNAcentral. Lineage: Eukaryota; Metazoa; Chordata; Mammalia; Primates; Hominidae.